Molecule: long non-coding RNA, 294 nt
Filed under: Elaeis guineensis (African oil palm)
Lineage: Eukaryota; Viridiplantae; Streptophyta; Magnoliopsida; Arecales; Arecaceae
Description: long non-coding RNA (EGUI_LNC054574)
Source: RNAcentral
UCCCUCAAACCGAAGAUUUCUCUCAAAUCUCUCUCCCCACCAAUUUUCACCCUUCAAAUCAUCUGUUUAGGAACCAACUUUCUCUCCUCUUUCUUUCUCAUUUGGGCGAUUCGAGUUUGCCCUAGAUUCUACCCCUCUUCUCCAAACUGAUGAUUUAGCUCCUCAAAAUCUUUGCUUUUUCUUCUAAAAUCUUUUUCUUUCUACCUCUCAUUUAGUCUCCUAAGCUCCUUGCAAGUCUCUUUUAUUCAAAUGGCUCCCAAAAUGAAGCUACCACAAAGAAAAAAAUCUGUUCGC